AUAAGGUGGGGUUGAUUUUGGACGAAAAUAAGUAAAUUAAAACAAGAACAAUGUAAAUAGAUUCUUAGACAAAAUUAGGUGAAUUGAUGAGAUAUGGGGUAACUAGAGGGUUCUUCUCCACACAUGAUACACUUGCAUUCAAAUUUGAUUUCCAAUUGCUUCUUUCAAUAAACCAAGAAUCUCAACGCCCUAGGUUAACUGUGAUAACACUUUUUUUAACCUUCAAGUCUUCCUUAAGUUAUUGAAUUGGAUGGGAAUGCACAUGCAACAACUCAAAACAUUCUUUAAAAGUCCCUUACGUGAAAAGCACAAUAAAGAUACAAUCAAAGAUCAUUAACCUUCAUGAAAACUAUAAGCAUUGACGAGGCAAUUGUUACUGUGAAAAGCAUGAAGCGUUUGCCAAGAAUUCACUUAA
This 415-nucleotide long non-coding RNA is filed under the name Malus domestica (apple). RNAcentral's name for it is "long non-coding RNA (MDOM_LNC005944)". The record is from RNAcentral. Lineage: Eukaryota; Viridiplantae; Streptophyta; Magnoliopsida; Rosales; Rosaceae.